GAACAUUGGCUGAGCACGGUGGCUCACACCUGUAAUCCCAGCACUUUGGGAGGCUGAGAUGGGUGGAUCAUUUGAGGUCAGGAGUUUGAGACCAGCCUGGCUAACAUGGUUUCAUGGCAUGAUAUGACUCAAUCCAUAGACAAAGGCUGCUGAGCCCGGGACAGCUUAUUGGACCAGCCCAUAUGAGAAGCACAAAUGUACAGAAACAAACUGAACCCAAGGAAAGAUUGGUGAUACUUUGGGAGGGAUGACAGAGGAAGGGGAAACACAUUGUCCAUCCCUGUCCCAGCAAGGAGCCAGCUCCCAUUCAGCAGUCUCUGUGAACAUCUAGGUAGCUUCCACAUUCUUUCUGUCCAGUUGUGAGCAGCCACCAACUAUGAUUCCCCUUUUCCAGCAGGCUUUGCUUUCACAUCACAAAGCAUCAUCCUGAGAAACAAUUACAGUUCUUUUUAGAGUUCUGUUUCCUUCAUAGGUAUCUAUUGUCCUAAUAAAUGGAAUUCCUU
Molecule: long non-coding RNA, 503 nt
Organism: Piliocolobus tephrosceles (Ugandan red Colobus)
Lineage: Eukaryota; Metazoa; Chordata; Mammalia; Primates; Cercopithecidae
Exons: 2
Source: RefSeq, a predicted model, not a curated record